UGAUGUCCAGUGUUGAUACAUGGGAAUUAAAAACCAGUUCUUCUCCAAAAGUUUCCUCAGCUCCCCUUUCUGUGACACGGGUGUACUAGGAAGGUGACUAAAUUGUGAAGGAUGCUUGUCAAGGAGCUCCAUUGCAUAGCUGUGCAUUGUAGUGCCAGAAGCAAAUCCCUGUGUUAUUCAGGCUGCUGUCAUGCAGAGGGAGGUAGAGAGCUGGGAAUAACCUGAAGGGAGCACACAGUAGCAAGCAUGCCCCUGCUGCUGACCCGGGUUCUCCAAAAAUUUAGAAGCAUCUUCUGCAAACAGCUGACAAUGAGAACUUUUCCACUUUAUGAUGCAGAGGUUUUUCAGUCAGAGAACUGGGGCCUGCUAGAUCCAGCCAGGGCUUUGAAAAAGAGAGACAACUGGAUCUCUUAUUUAAAGGUAAUUAUGAUGAACUUCCCUCUUUAAGUUAUUGUUACUCCUAACCAGUCUUCAG
Manacus vitellinus (golden-collared manakin) is the source of this 475-nucleotide long non-coding RNA. NCBI's taxonomy places the organism in Eukaryota, Metazoa, Chordata, Aves, Passeriformes, Pipridae. The record is from Ensembl.